UUUCUGUCAAGCUGGUAAAGAUGUUGAUGCUUUACUAGAAAAUCUAGGCGCUGA
This 54-nucleotide small RNA is filed under the name Staphylococcus aureus. RNAcentral describes it as "HMPRFS0000_2936". The record is from RNAcentral. Lineage: Bacteria; Bacillati; Bacillota; Bacilli; Caryophanales; Staphylococcaceae.